Raphanus sativus (radish) is the source of this 696-nucleotide long non-coding RNA. RefSeq lists it as uncharacterized. The transcript has 4 exons. The record is from RefSeq and is a predicted model, not a curated record. NCBI's taxonomy places the organism in Eukaryota, Viridiplantae, Streptophyta, Magnoliopsida, Brassicales, Brassicaceae.
AACCUAAUUUAUUAUUUACAAAAAAACCUAACAUAUUUGACGCAGCCGCCUCCUUAUGACGCAACUCCAUCUCUCUCGAUCUCUUCUCACAGACCUCUCAUCUCGAUCUCCAUCUCUUUGCGAUCUCCAUCUCAUCUCGAUCUCCAUCUCUUUGCGAUCUCCAUCUCUCUCCAACUCCAUCUCACUCUCCAUCUCGACUCUCUCUCCAUCUCGUGCUCUCUCUCCAUCUCGUGCCCUCUCACUCCAUCUCGUGCCCUCACUCUCCAUCUCGUGCUCUCACUCUCCAUCUCGACUCUCUCUCCAUCUCGUGCUCUCUGACACAAACCCAUCUCAAGUUCUCUCUCAAUCUCCGAAGCAAACCCAUCUAUGAGCUCUCUCUCUUGAACCUAACUUGGUGGAAGCCAUCGGUUUAAGAUUGACCCGGACAUUCAAAAGGGUUUAGACCUUGGUCUGGUGUCACCUGAGAUUCUACAGAACUUCUUUGAUCUAGAGCAAUAUCCUCUUAUUGCAGAGCUUACACAGAGGUUCCAGGAUCGGAAUAUUAUCCAAGUAAACGAAGGUUAUCAGACCAACUCUACUCCUCCAUCUAAAGGUCUAAAGCUCUCCCAAGCUUCUCUCACUCAAGCUCUCCCAAGCUUCUCUCACUUAAGCUCUCCCAAGCUCAAAUAUAUAUGAAAAUUAAAUGUAUGAUUUUAU